This 74-nucleotide transfer RNA is filed under the name Cellulosimicrobium cellulans. Its description in RNAcentral is "tRNA-Asp". It matches the Rfam family "tRNA". Rfam says of the family: Transfer RNA (tRNA) molecules are approximately 80 nucleotides in length. Their secondary structure includes four short double-helical elements and three loops (D, anti-codon, and T loops). Further hydrogen bonds mediate the characteristic L-shaped molecular structure. tRNAs have two regions of fundamental functional importance: the anti-codon, which is responsible for specific mRNA codon recognition, and the 3' end, to which the tRNAs corresponding amino acid is attached (by aminoacyl-tRNA synthetases). tRNAs cope with the degeneracy of the genetic code in two manners: having more than one tRNA (with a specific anti-codon) for a particular amino acid; and 'wobble' base-pairing, i.e. permitting non-standard base-pairing at the 3rd anti-codon position. The record is from RNAcentral. RNAcentral also lists the same sequence under 1 other name. Lineage: Bacteria; Bacillati; Actinomycetota; Actinomycetes; Micrococcales; Promicromonosporaceae.
GCCUGAUCGGUCCAGAUGGAGUGGACGCCCGCCUGUCGAGCGGGAGACCACGGGUUCAAGUCCCGUAUCAGGCG